UACGUAGGGGGCAAGCGUUAAUCGGAAUUACUGGGCGUAAAGCGUGCGCAGGCGGUUUUGUAAGUCUGACGUGAAAUCCCCGGGCUCAACCUGGGAAUUGCGUUGGAGACUGCAAGGCUAGAAUCUGGCAGAGGGGGGUAGAAUUCCACGUGUAGCAGUGAAAUGCGUAGAGAUGUGGAGGAACACCGAUGGCGAAGGCAGCCCCCUGGGUCAAGAUUGACGCUCAUGCACGAAAGCGUGGGGAGCAAACAGG
Molecule: ribosomal RNA, 253 nt
Filed under: uncultured bacterium
Lineage: Bacteria
Description: partial 16S ribosomal RNA
Rfam family: Bacterial small subunit ribosomal RNA
Source: RNAcentral